RNAcentral lists this ribosomal RNA (459 nucleotides) under uncultured bacterium. RNAcentral's name for it is "partial 16S ribosomal RNA". It matches the Rfam family "Bacterial small subunit ribosomal RNA", at positions 338 to 795 of the family's 1533-position model. The record is from RNAcentral.
CCUACGGGUGGCAGCAGUGAGGAAUAUUGGUCAAUGGCCGGAAGGCUGAACCAGCCAAGCCGCGUGAAGGACGAAGGUGCCAAGCAUUGUAAACUUCUUUUGUCAAGGGACAAAAUCAGGCUCGAGAGCCUGACCGAGGGUACUUGAAGAAAAAGCAUCGGCUAACUCCGUGCCAGCAGCCGCGGUAAUACGGAGGAUGCGAGCGUUAUCCGGAUUUAGUGGGUUAAAAGGGUGCGUAGGCGGGCUGUUAAGUCAGCGGUAAAAUCCCGGGGCUCAACCCCGGCGAGCCGUUGAAAAUGGCUGUCUUGAGAUGUCGAGAGGUAUGCGGAAUGCGCAGUGUAGCGGUGAAAUGCUUAGAUAUUGCGCAGAACUCCGAUUGCGAAGGCAGCAUACCGGCGGCGAUCUGACGCUGAGGCACGAAAGCGUGGGUAUCGAACAGGAUUAGAUACCCCGGUAGUC